RNAcentral lists this ribosomal RNA (392 nucleotides) under Microtus thomasi (Thomas's pine vole). RNAcentral describes it as "partial 12S ribosomal RNA". It matches the Rfam family "Bacterial small subunit ribosomal RNA", at positions 874 to 1405 of the family's 1533-position model. Lineage: Eukaryota; Metazoa; Chordata; Mammalia; Rodentia; Cricetidae. The record is from RNAcentral.
CUUAAUAUUUUAAACGAAAAUAUUUGCCUGAGAACUACUGGCCACAGCUUAAAACUCAAAGGACUUGGCGGUACUUUAUAUCCAUCUAGAGGAGCCUGUUCUAUAAUCGAUAAACCCCGUUAUACCUCACCACCCCUUGCUAAUACAGCCUAUAUACCGCCAUCUUCAGCAAACCCUAAAAAGGAAUAAAAGUAAGCAAGAGAACUACCAUAAAAACGUUAGGUCAAGGUGUAGCCAAUGAGGUGGAAAGCAAUGGGCUACAUUUUCUUACAAAGAACACUACGCUACCCUUUAUGAAACUAGAGGACAAAGGAGGAUUUAGUAGUAAAUUAAGAAUAGAGUGCUUAGUUGAAUAGAGCAAUGAAGUACGUACACACCGCCCGUCACCCUCA